Uranotaenia lowii is the source of this 551-nucleotide long non-coding RNA. RefSeq lists it as uncharacterized. The record is from RefSeq and is a predicted model, not a curated record. The transcript has 3 exons. NCBI's taxonomy places the organism in Eukaryota, Metazoa, Arthropoda, Insecta, Diptera, Culicidae.
AAAAAACGAUCAGUUGAAAAAAGGAAAAAAAAUAUCCGAAAAUUGGUCCGCCGGCUCAUGGAACUGAUUCCUUUGUAAAGUUUUCCAGUUAAAGAAUAUAUUAAUGGUUUGCGGAUUCAAAGGCCGAAAUGAAGGCUGGAAGUUAUCAUCACUGCUGCAGAGAUGGAUUAAAUGUCAAAAACAUCCAAGUCCGUUUCCCAUAGAUCCCGGUGACGGCAAGAAUGUUCAGCAGCAGUCGGCUUAUUUUGCAGCUGUUUUGUCCGGUACGCUAAACUGGCCCGGGCCAUAGCUGGUGUGUGAAUGCCCUGAACUAUAGCCGGCCGGCUAUUCGGAUUUCGGCAAAUGGGCGCUUUGCCCCGACCUUCGGCCGACAUCAGCACCUUCUUGCUCUCCCGGUGGUAGUCGGUUAUGAAGGUGGAACUGCCGCCUGCCGCUGCUGCAAAAUGGGCAGCAUUAUCGGGAAUCAGCACUGGUGGUCAACAAAACGCAUGUGUAGCUUUAGUGGUAGUAUCAUGUUUUUAUUUAAUUAAACGUAUUUGAAAAAUUAAAAU